GGCCCCCUGGACAGAUACUGACACUCAGAUGCGAAAGCGUGGGGAGCAAACAGGAUUAGAUACCCUGGUAGUCCACGCCGUAAACGAUGUCUACUUGGAGGUUGUGGCCUUGAGCCGUGGCUUUCGGAGCUAACGCGUUAAGUAGACCGCCUGGGGAGUACGGUCGCAAGAUUAAAACUCAAAUGAAUUGACGGGGGCCCGCACAAGCGGUGGAGCAUGUGGUUUAAUUCGAUGCAACGCGAAGAACCUUACCUACUCUUGACAUCCAGAGAACUUUCCAGAGAUGGAUUGGUGCCUUCGGGAACUCUGAGACAGGUGCUGCAUGGCUGUCGUCAGCUCGUGUUGUGAAAUGUUGGGUUAAGUCCCGCAACGAGCGCAACCCUUAUCCUUGUUUGCCAGCGAGUAAUGUCGGGAACUCCAGGGAGACUGCCGGUGAUAAACCGGAGGAAGGUGGGGACGACGUCAAGUCAUCAUGGCCCUUACGAGUAGGGCUACACACGUGCUACAAUGGCGCAUACAGAGGGCGGCCAACUUGCGAAAGUGAGCGAAUCCCAAAAAGUGCGUCGUAGUCCGGAUUGGAGUCUGCAACUCGACUCCAUGAAGUCGGAAUCGCUAGUAAUCGUGGAUCAGAAUGCCACGGUGAAUACGUUCCCGGGCCUUGUACACACCGCCCGUCACACCAUGGGAGUGGGCUGCAAAAGAAGUAGGUAGUUUAACCUUCGGGGGGACGCUUACCACUUUGUGGUUCAUGACUGGGGUGAAGUCGUAACAAGGUAGCGCUAGGGGAACCUGGCGCUGGAUCACCUCCUUAAACGAUGAU
RNAcentral lists this ribosomal RNA (820 nucleotides) under Vibrio parahaemolyticus. RNAcentral's name for it is "bacterial SSU rRNA". It matches the Rfam family "Bacterial small subunit ribosomal RNA", at positions 723 to 1533 of the family's 1533-position model. The record is from RNAcentral. Lineage: Bacteria; Pseudomonadati; Pseudomonadota; Gammaproteobacteria; Vibrionales; Vibrionaceae.